GAGGGGGAGGACCUGAGGUCACUGUGGGGGGAGCUCUCUCUGUGCGCCAUCACAGAGCUCGAUCCACUGAAACAGCAGAAUGUCCCACAGUGCCCUGCAAUGAGAGGCAGGCUCAUCACGGACAUCCCGGCGCUGCCAUGGUUUCAGAACUCCAUCUGUAUCUGCCUCUCUGUGGUGAUGAGGAGCAAGAGACAAAGGAGCCAUUACUCAUGAGGUCUUCAGCAGAGGAGACCACUGCUCAGGAGGUCCCGUCAUCACCGGGGUGUUUCCCACCCACACAGCAGCCAGGACAGAGUGGGCUCCACAGCCCCCCAUGAUGCUCCCACACACUCCCAUGCAACCAAAAAAACGAAUCCUGCAUGUAGUGUCUAGCAGCCGGGACAGUGUGUAUACUUCCAUAGUUGAUGGGUAAUGAUCUUUGUCUAAAGGGAGGUUAGAAGAAAUGAAAGCUUCAUUUGGUUGGAUUCUGUGUCAUUUAUGGCCUAAUAAAGCCUUGAUUUGUCAGUGUGAAGAGGUUUUAAACAGUCACAGAUGUCAUACCUGAACUACACCAUAUACAGUAUGCCUCACUUUGACAUAAAAAAAGUGCCUACAGGCGUCAUGACAAACAACUGUUUUUCUAGUUAAUACCUGUGGCCUUUGCACAUGUUUUCUAUACUAAAUACAUAUUUUUUCUUAGGAUUACAAUAAAGUGUUUUCAUGUGCUACAAACAUUAAUGUAUUAGUUUUUGCACUACAGUGAAUCCAUUCAAUCAAUUGUUUCAGGUAUUUGUGGAAAGUUUGUUUUCUUAUCAGCUAAGGGGUGUCAUGUUCA
Long non-coding RNA from Eleginops maclovinus (Patagonian blennie), 814 nucleotides. RefSeq lists it as uncharacterized. The record is from RefSeq and is a predicted model, not a curated record. NCBI's taxonomy places the organism in Eukaryota, Metazoa, Chordata, Actinopteri, Perciformes, Eleginopidae. The transcript has 3 exons.